Molecule: ribosomal RNA, 253 nt
Filed under: uncultured bacterium
Lineage: Bacteria
Description: partial 16S ribosomal RNA
Rfam family: Bacterial small subunit ribosomal RNA
Source: RNAcentral
UACAGAGGUCCCGAGCGUUGUUCGGAUUCAUUGGGCGUAAAGGGUGCGUAGGCGGCGAGGCCAGUCUGAUGUGAAAUCCCCGGGCUCAACCCGGGAACUGCAUUGGAUACUGCCUUGCUUGAGUACUGGAGAGGGAACUGGAAUUUACGGUGUAGCAGUGAAAUGCGUAGAGAUCGUAAGGAAGGCCAGUGGCGAAGGCGAGUUCCUGGACAGUUACUGACGCUGAGGCACGAAAGCGUGGGGAGCAAACAGG